CGUAGUUGGAUUUCUGGCGAUUGGGGGUGGUCCACCGCAAGGUGAGCACUGUUCCUGGCCGCCAUCCUCUCGAGGGCUUGUGGUGCCAUUAACUUGGUGCUGCAGGAGCUCGGGACCUUUACUUUGAAAAAAUUAGAGUGCUCAAAGCAGGCUAAAAUGCCUGAAUAUUCGUGCAUGGAAUAAUAGAAUAGGAUGUCGAUCCUAUUUUGUUGGUUUUCGGGACUCGACAUAAUGA
RNAcentral lists this ribosomal RNA (235 nucleotides) under uncultured eukaryote. RNAcentral describes it as "partial 18S ribosomal RNA". It matches the Rfam family "Eukaryotic small subunit ribosomal RNA", at positions 629 to 868 of the family's 1831-position model. The record is from RNAcentral.